RNAcentral lists this ribosomal RNA (2902 nucleotides) under Escherichia coli HVH 143 (4-5674999). Its description in RNAcentral is "bacterial LSU rRNA". It matches the Rfam family "Bacterial large subunit ribosomal RNA". The record is from RNAcentral. Lineage: Bacteria; Pseudomonadati; Pseudomonadota; Gammaproteobacteria; Enterobacterales; Enterobacteriaceae.
UUAAGCGACUAAGCGUACACGGUGGAUGCCCUGGCAGUCAGAGGCGAUGAAGGACGUGCUAAUCUGCGAUAAGCGUCGGUGAGGUGAUAUGAACCGUUAUAACCGGCGAUUUCCGAAUGGGGAAACCCAGUGUGUUUCGACACACUAUCAUUAACUGAAUCCAUAGGUUAAUGAGGCGAACCGGGGGAACUGAAACAUCUAAGUACCCCGAGGAAAAGAAAUCAACCGAGAUUCCCCCAGUAGCGGCGAGCGAACGGGGAGGAGCCCAGAGCCUGAAUCAGUGUGUGUGUUAGUGGAAGCGUCUGGAAAGGCGUGCGAUACAGGGUGACAGCCCCGUACACAAAAAUGCACAUGCUGUGAGCUCGAUGAGUAGGGCGGGACACGUGGUAUCCUGUCUGAAUAUGGGGGGACCAUCCUCCAAGGCUAAAUACUCCUGACUGACCGAUAGUGAACCAGUACCGUGAGGGAAAGGCGAAAAGAACCCCGGCGAGGGGAGUGAAAAAGAACCUGAAACCGUGUACGUACAAGCAGUGGGAGCCUCUUAAUGGGGUGACUGCGUACCUUUUGUAUAAUGGGUCAGCGACUUAUAUUCUGUAGCAAGGUUAACCGAAUAGGGGAGCCGAAGGGAAACCGAGUCUUAACUGGGCGUUAAGUUGCAGGGUAUAGACCCGAAACCCGGUGAUCUAGCCAUGGGCAGGUUGAAGGUUGGGUAACACUAACUGGAGGACCGAACCGACUAAUGUUGAAAAAUUAGCGGAUGACUUGUGGCUGGGGGUGAAAGGCCAAUCAAACCGGGAGAUAGCUGGUUCUCCCCGAAAGCUAUUUAGGUAGCGCCUCGUGAAUUCAUCUCCGGGGGUAGAGCACUGUUUCGGCAAGGGGGUCAUCCCGACUUACCAACCCGAUGCAAACUGCGAAUACCGGAGAAUGUUAUCACGGGAGACACACGGCGGGUGCUAACGUCCGUCGUGAAGAGGGAAACAACCCAGACCGCCAGCUAAGGUCCCAAAGUCAUGGUUAAGUGGGAAACGAUGUGGGAAGGCCCAGACAGCCAGGAUGUUGGCUUAGAAGCAGCCAUCAUUUAAAGAAAGCGUAAUAGCUCACUGGUCGAGUCGGCCUGCGCGGAAGAUGUAACGGGGCUAAACCAUGCACCGAAGCUGCGGCAGCGACACUAUGUGUUGUUGGGUAGGGGAGCGUUCUGUAAGCCUGUGAAGGUGGCCUGUGAGGGUUGCUGGAGGUAUCAGAAGUGCGAAUGCUGACAUAAGUAACGAUAAAGCGGGUGAAAAGCCCGCUCGCCGGAAGACCAAGGGUUCCUGUCCAACGUUAAUCGGGGCAGGGUGAGUCGACCCCUAAGGCGAGGCCGAAAGGCGUAGUCGAUGGGAAACAGGUUAAUAUUCCUGUACUUGGUGUUACUGCGAAGGGGGGACGGAGAAGGCUAUGUUGGCCGGGCGACGGUUGUCCCGGUUUAAGCGUGUAGGCUGGUUUUCCAGGCAAAUCCGGAAAACCAAGGCUGAGGCGUGAUGACGAGGCACUACGGUGCUGAAGCGACAAAUGCCCUGCUUCCAGGAAAAGCCUCUAAGCAUCAGGUAACAUCAAAUCGUACCCCAAACCGACACAGGUGGUCAGGUAGAGAAUACCAAGGCGCUUGAGAGAACUCGGGUGAAGGAACUAGGCAAAAUGGUGCCGUAACUUCGGGAGAAGGCACGCUGAUAUGUAGGUGAAGCGACUUGCUCGUGGAGCUGAAAUCAGUCGAAGAUACCAGCUGGCUGCAACUGUUUAUUAAAAACACAGCACUGUGCAAACACGAAAGUGGACGUAUACGGUGUGACGCCUGCCCGGUGCCGGAAGGUUAAUUGAUGGGGUUAGCGGCAACGCGAAGCUCUUGAUCGAAGCCCCGGUAAACGGCGGCCGUAACUAUAACGGUCCUAAGGUAGCGAAAUUCCUUGUCGGGUAAGUUCCGACCUGCACGAAUGGCGUAAUGAUGGCCAGGCUGUCUCCACCCGAGACUCAGUGAAAUUGAACUCGCUGUGAAGAUGCAGUGUACCCGCGGCAAGACGGAAAGACCCCGUGAACCUUUACUAUAGCUUGACACUGAACAUUGAGCCUUGAUGUGUAGGAUAGGUGGGAGGCUUUGAAGUGUGGACGCCAGUCUGCAUGGAGCCGACCUUGAAAUACCACCCUUUAAUGUUUGAUGUUCUAACGUUGGCCCGUAAUCCGGGUUGCGGACAGUGUCUGGUGGGUAGUUUGACUGGGGCGGUCUCCUCCUAAAGAGUAACGGAGGAGCACGAAGGUUGGCUAAUCCUGGUCGGACAUCAGGAGGUUAGUGCAAUGGCAUAAGCCAGCUUGACUGCGAGCGUGACGGCGCGAGCAGGUGCGAAAGCAGGUCAUAGUGAUCCGGUGGUUCUGAAUGGAAGGGCCAUCGCUCAACGGAUAAAAGGUACUCCGGGGAUAACAGGCUGAUACCGCCCAAGAGUUCAUAUCGACGGCGGUGUUUGGCACCUCGAUGUCGGCUCAUCACAUCCUGGGGCUGAAGUAGGUCCCAAGGGUAUGGCUGUUCGCCAUUUAAAGUGGUACGCGAGCUGGGUUUAGAACGUCGUGAGACAGUUCGGUCCCUAUCUGCCGUGGGCGCUGGAGAACUGAGGGGGGCUGCUCCUAGUACGAGAGGACCGGAGUGGACGCAUCACUGGUGUUCGGGUUGUCAUGCCAAUGGCACUGCCCGGUAGCUAAAUGCGGAAGAGAUAAGUGCUGAAAGCAUCUAAGCACGAAACUUGCCCCGAGAUGAGUUCUCCCUGACUCCUUGAGAGUCCUGAAGGAACGUUGAAGACGACGACGUUGAUAGGCCGGGUGUGUAAGCGCAGCGAUGCGUUGAGCUAACCGGUACUAAUGAACCGUGAGGCUUAACCUU